RNAcentral lists this long non-coding RNA (203 nucleotides) under Homo sapiens (human). RNAcentral describes it as "non-protein coding lnc-HDAC4-6:1". Lineage: Eukaryota; Metazoa; Chordata; Mammalia; Primates; Hominidae. The record is from RNAcentral.
CCAAACACAUGGCCCUUCCAACGUUGCACCCCCACCUGCCCUCUGUCUCCACCCUUCGCUCCACUCAACCGGUAGGUGGCUCCCAGAAUCACUCACCGAGAUAAGCACUGGAGCCUCAAACCUCCCAUGCCCCCGGGGCUCCAGACAAUAGCCCAGAAGUGUACUUCCUUAGAUUUGGGGUGAGGUGAGCUUGCGUUGGGGGA